UACGGAGGGUCCAAGCGUUACCCGGAAUUACUGGGCGUAAAGAGUAGCGUAGGCGGUUUGCCAAGUUUUUGCUUAAAGAUCAGGGCCCAACCCUGGGAAUGGCAAAAAAACUGGCAAACUAGAGGAAGAUAGAGGCGAGUGGAAUUUCCGGAGUAGGGGUGAAAUCCGUAGAUACCGGGAGGAACACCAAUGGCGUAGGCAGCUCGCUGGGUCUUUCCUGACGCUGAGGCACGAAAGCGUGGGUAGCGAACCGG
RNAcentral lists this ribosomal RNA (254 nucleotides) under uncultured prokaryote. Its description in RNAcentral is "partial 16S ribosomal RNA". It matches the Rfam family "Bacterial small subunit ribosomal RNA", at positions 524 to 776 of the family's 1533-position model. The record is from RNAcentral.